RNAcentral lists this ribosomal RNA (460 nucleotides) under uncultured bacterium. RNAcentral describes it as "partial 16S ribosomal RNA". It matches the Rfam family "Bacterial small subunit ribosomal RNA", at positions 338 to 795 of the family's 1533-position model. The record is from RNAcentral.
CCUACGGGAGGCAGCAGUGAGGAAUAUUGGUCAAUGGGCGUAAGCCUGAACCAGCCAAGUCGCGUGAGGGAUGAAGGUUCUAUGGAUCGUAAACCUCUUUUAUAAGGGAAUAAAGUGUGGGACGUGUCCUAUUUUGUAUGUACCUUAUGAAUAAGGAUCGGCUAACUCCGUGCCAGCAGCCGCGGUAAUACGGAGGAUCCGAGCGUUAUCCGGAUUUAUUGGGUUUAAAGGGUGCGUAGGCGGCCUUUUAAGUCAGCGGUGAAAGUCUGUGGCUCAACCAUAGAAUUGCCGUUGAAACUGGGGGGCUUGAGUAUGUUUGAGGCAGGCGGAAUGCGUGGUGUAGCGGUGAAAUGCUUAGAUAUCACACAGAACACCGAUUGCGAAGGCAGCUUGCUAGGCCGGAUCUGACACUGAUGCACGAAAGCGUGGGGAUCGAACAGGAUUAGAUACCCGUGUAGUC